AGAGUUUGAUCCUGGCUCAGAAUGAACGCUGGCGGCGUGCUUAACACAUGCAAGUCGCACGAGAACGCUUCAGCUUGCUGGAGCUAGUAAAGUGGCGCACGGGUGAGUAACGCGUGGGUAAUCUACCUCCGAAUUGGGGAUAACACUGCGAAAGCGGUGCUAAUACCGAAUGACAUCACCGGAACUUUGGUUGCGGUGAUCAAAGGUGGCCUCUACAUGUAAGCUACUGUUUGGAGAUGAGCCCGCGUACCAUUAGCUAGUUGGUAGGGUAAUGGCCUACCAAGGCUUCGAUGGUUAGCUGGUCUGAGAGGAUGAUCAGCCACACUGGAACUGACACACGGUCCAGACUCCUACGGGAGGCAGCAGUGAGGAAUUUUGCGCAAUGGGGGAAACCCUGACGCAGCAACGCCGCGUGAGUGAUGAAGGCUUUCGGGUCGUAAAGCUCUGUCAAGUGGGAAGAAUAUGCCCUGUGAUAAUACCAUGGGGCACUGACGGUACCACUGAAGGAAGCACCGGCUAACUCCGUGCCAGCAGCCGCGGUAAUAC
Molecule: ribosomal RNA, 546 nt
Filed under: uncultured Desulfobacteraceae bacterium
Lineage: Bacteria; Pseudomonadati; Thermodesulfobacteriota; Desulfobacteria; Desulfobacterales; Desulfobacteraceae
Description: bacterial SSU rRNA
Rfam family: Bacterial small subunit ribosomal RNA
Source: RNAcentral